CCACUUCCCGUCCCCGGGCGGGCGCCGGCGCUCCGGGCGGCUUUCCCCGCGGGCCCGUGCGCGGCUGCCGCGCAGCCCUCGCGGCCGGGCUCCCCGAGCGGUCGCUCCGCGCUGCGCGGCAGCGCCGGGGGCGCGGGCUGGAGACGGUGCCACGUUUCCCCGCGCGGCACCUUCCCGGAGUCCGGGUGCGCCGCCCGCGGCAGGAAGGGCGGCCCGGCGGCGGCCGGGCCGCGGGGAAGGCUUGCGACGCUGCGCGGACGGACCGCAGCGACUCGGAGGGUUGGGACGUCUCUCCUCUCCAUGGACUGUAGCCCACCAGGCUCCCCUGUCCAUGGAAUUCUCCAGGCAAGAAAAUUGGAACAGGUUGCCAUUUUGUACUCCAGCGGGUCUUCCAGCCCCAGGGACUGAACCUGUGUCUCCUGUGUCUCCAGCAUUGGCAGUCAUCCAGAAGACACGGAAGUUUCUGAGGAGUGUUUCAAGAAGGCAAGUGCCAAGACACAAGUCCUUGUCAAGACUCUGCUGACUUCAUGUUCACUGAUGUUUCAUUGACCAAAGCAAGUCAUGUGGUCCCGGAUUCAACACCAGGCGAGCCCAGAGUGGAGAGUGAUUCAUUGGGAACAUUACUUAUCCACGUAAAACACAUGCUAAGAGAUAGGCAGGAAAAGAGAAGCCACUGGAGAAAGACACAUGAAUCACUGUCCGAAAGAAACAGUAAGACAUCAAGGAAGCAGAGUUUCCAGAAGGGAAGGGGCAACAGUGCCAAGUGUCACAGAGAGAACAAGAAUGGAAGGAAUAACAAGUGUUCAUGGACUUGGUCUUUGUUAACCUUUGCAGUUUCAAGAGUUGAGAGUAAAAACUGAAUCAAAGAGGGGAGAGAAAGUGAAUGGGUGUUGAGGAAGUGUAGGCAGAUGGUGCAGACUUCUUUUCUUAGAAAGGUCAGAAACAAAAUGAAGAGAUGGAGUAGCAUCUACAGGAGAACUCCCACUAAAGGGGGAGUAAUAGUUGUUUUUUUUUUUUUUUUUUAAAUGACAGUGAUGUGCAUUACGUUAGAGUAAGAGACAAGAGCCAGGAGGUAGAGGGGAAAUGACAUAGGAGAGUCAGGCCCAUUGAGAGGAAGAAGCAUCCAGCAGAGGGUUGAUGGGAAGAGCAACACCGGGCUUUUUCAAACCAAAGAAAGGCUGGCAGCAAUGGCAGUAUGUUUACAGGCUGGGGUAGAGAGAGAUGUCAGAAAGUUAAGCAAAUGCAUUUAUAAAAGCUUCUUCC
Bos taurus (domestic cattle) is the source of this 1263-nucleotide long non-coding RNA. NCBI's taxonomy places the organism in Eukaryota, Metazoa, Chordata, Mammalia, Artiodactyla, Bovidae. The record is from Ensembl.